RNAcentral lists this ribosomal RNA (301 nucleotides) under uncultured bacterium. RNAcentral describes it as "partial 16S ribosomal RNA". It matches the Rfam family "Bacterial small subunit ribosomal RNA", at positions 509 to 807 of the family's 1533-position model. The record is from RNAcentral.
CAGUAGCCGCGGUAAUACGUAGGGUGCAAGCGUUAAUCGGAAUUACUGGGCGUAAAGCGUGCGCAGGCGGUUUGUUAAGACAGAUGUGAAAUCCCCGGGCUCAACCUGGGAACUGCAUUUGUGACUGGCAAGCUAGAGUCUGGCAGAGGGGGGUGGAAUUCCGCGUGUAGCAGUGAAAUUCGUAGAUAUGCGGAGGAACACCGAUGGCGAAGGCAGCCCCCUGGGCCAACACUGACGCUCAUGCACGAAAGCGUGGGGAGCAAACAGGAUUAGAUACCCCGGUAGUCCCUGUCUCUUAUAC